AACGAACGCUGGCGGCAGGCCUAACACAUGCAAGUCGAGCGCACCUUCGGGUGAGCGGCGGACGGGUGAGUAACGCGUGGGAAUAUGCCCAGAUCUACGGAAUAGCCUUUGGAAACGAAGAGUAAUACCGUAUACGCCCUUCGGGGGAAAGAUUUAUCGGAUUUGGAUUAGCCCGCGUUGGAUUAGGUAGUUGGUGGGGUAAAAGCCUACCAAGCCGACGAUCCAUAUCUGGUUUGAGAGGAUGAUCAGACACACUGGGACUGAGACACGGCCCAGACUCCUACGGGAGGCAGCAGUGGGGAAUCUUAGACAAUGGGGGAAACCCUGAUCUAGCCAUGCCGCGUGAGUGACGAAGGCCCUAGGGUCGUAAAGCUCUUUCGCCAGGGAAGAUAAUGACGGUACCUGGUAAAGAAACCCCGGCUAACUCCGUGCCAGCCGCCGCCGUAACAC
RNAcentral lists this ribosomal RNA (450 nucleotides) under uncultured bacterium. RNAcentral describes it as "bacterial SSU rRNA". It matches the Rfam family "Bacterial small subunit ribosomal RNA", at positions 29 to 526 of the family's 1533-position model. The record is from RNAcentral.